This 497-nucleotide ribosomal RNA is filed under the name uncultured bacterium. RNAcentral describes it as "partial 16S ribosomal RNA". It matches the Rfam family "Bacterial small subunit ribosomal RNA", at positions 28 to 507 of the family's 1533-position model. The record is from RNAcentral.
GACGAACGCUGGCGGCGUGCCUAAUACAUGCAAGUUGAGCGCUGAAGGUUGGUACUUGUACCGACUGGAUGAGCAGCGAACGGGUGAGUAACGCGUGGGGAAUCUGCCUUUGAGCGGGGGACAACAUUUGGAAACGAAUGCUAAUACCGCAUAAAAACUUUAAACACAAGUUUUAAGUUUGAAAGAUGCAAUUGCAUCACUCAAAGAUGAUCCCGCGUUGUAUUAGCUAGUUGGUGAGGUAAAGGCUCACCAAGGCGAUGAUACAUAGCCGACCUGAGAGGGUGGUCGGCCACAUUGGGACUGAGACACGGCCCAAACUCCUUCGGGAGGCAGCAGUAGGGAAUCUUCGGCAAUGGACGAAAGUCUGACCGAGCAACGCCGCGUGAGUGAAGAAGGUUUUCGGAUCGUAAAACUCUGUUGGUAGAGAAGAACGUUGGUGAGAGUGGAAAGCUCAUCAAGUGACGGUAACUACCCAGAAAGGGACGGCUAACUACGUG